UCUCACAGGAUCCAGUCUAGAUUCCUUAGCCAAGCCCCUCAGGUCAGCCCCUGCCUGCCUCUCCCACUCAUCCAGUAACAACCUGUAGAGCCUUCACCGCAUCAGCCUCUUUACAGGCUCCCAAACAUGUCAAUGCUGUUUCACGCUUCUGUACCUUUUGUACAAAAUGUUCUCGACGCCACCCCCAUCCUCCCCUGAGGAAUUCCAGCUCAUCUUCUAAGACUCAGAACAAAGAGAGAUUCAUUUCAAGGAGUUGUAGGCAGGACAAUACCAGUGAAAGAUAACGGCCUUGGCAUCAAACAGACCUGCACCCAGUUCUGGUUCUUCCACUUACUCGGUGUGAAGCAAGGGGCCAGGAGUUUGGAAGUGGCCCAGUUGGGAAAUACUAGCUUGGGGUCUCUCAGGAGGUUGACUGGGGUUUAAGUCAUCUGUGGACUUACCUGGAACUGGAGGGUCCACUCCAAGUCUUCACUCCACUCACACAGCUGGCAGACUGAUGCUGAUUAUUGGUGGGUGUCUCAGUUCCCCAUCAGGUAGGCCUUCCAGAGACCUGAGUGUCCUGGUGACUCGAAAACUGGCCUUCCCCAGAGCAAGACUUCCAAAAGGCCAACGCAGAAGCUGUAACGUCUUUUAUGACCUGGUCUCAGAAGUCAUACACCAUUCCUCCCACCUGACUCUAUGUACAGAGCCAUCCCUGAUUGACACUGGAAAGGACUCCGUGAAGUCGUGAAUACCAAGAGAAAGCAAUCGUGGGGCUGUAUCAAUGUGGCUACCACAUCCCUUGAUGUACUCUAAGUAAUAAAGACUUUAAAGCAGGGCAUUUGAGGCUUUCACAUGUGUUUGCAGGACAAGGGAGCAAAAGUCAAGAAGUCUAUUUGUGAUGAUCUCAGCCUGCAUUACCAUCAUAAGAGGGUCUGAAGAGCUUACUUGGAAGCUGCUUUAGAUAUCAGAAAACUUUGAGAAAUUCCUUCCAUCCAUCUUAGCUGGCAACUCUGAAGCAAGAGAUUCUCUAGAAGCUACCGUUGGCAAUCUCAGCUGACUACUGUACCCGAGAGGUUCUUUCAUAGGAAAGGACCCUGCAGCUGCUGAGAACUUCACACCUGCCUUUGAUGAGCGUGGACUUUCCCACUCCUCUGCCUUCCAAUCUCAUGCAAAUGCCUUUCAGUGACCAACAUGACGCUGGGAUCAUAAAGAGAAGGGAACUCUGGGAAAUGUCAUUCCUGGCCUCUCCUUGGGUGAUGCAGGGAAUCUGUGGGUGGAAGUGGGUGGUGGUGAUACUGAGCUGACUACAGAUAAUCCAGCUGAAACUUUGGGGGGUUUUCAGUCAGUGAAACAUGCAUAAUACUAUGCAAGUUUGACUUGAAAUUCUCCCUUCUCCAAAGACAGUAAAAACAGUUUUUAAAAAAUGUUUUUAAUAUUCAUUUAUUUUUUGAGAGAGAGACAGAACACGAGAGAGGGAGGGGCAACAAAGAGAGGGAGACACAGAAUCCAAAGCAGGCUCCAGGCUCUGAGCUGUCAGCACAGAUCCUGACGUGGGGCUCGAACUCACAAACCGCGAGAUCAUGACCUGAGCCGAAAUGAGAUACUUAACCAACUGAGCCACCCAGUUGCCCCUAAAUGUUUUUAAGUAAGAUAAGGCAUGCUCACAAACAAGAAUGAGAUAGCAACGAACAGGGGCUGAAGCCAUAAAUCUAUGAAUCCAGAAAUGGACAGAGAGGGUUAGAAUCCUAGCCCUUUAGGGAUGUGAUGGACUUAGUGUUUCCCCUUAAAAUUCAUGUUAAAACCCUAAUCCCCUUGUGACAGUAUUAGGCGUGGAAACUUUGAGAGGUGAUU
Molecule: long non-coding RNA, 1833 nt
Organism: Panthera uncia (snow leopard)
Lineage: Eukaryota; Metazoa; Chordata; Mammalia; Carnivora; Felidae
Exons: 3
Source: RefSeq, a predicted model, not a curated record